UCANCCAUAGUUCGCUUUGGAAACUGUCAAACUUGAGCGCAGAAGGGGAGAGUGGANUUCCAUGUGUAGCGGUGAAAUGCGUAGAUAUAUGGAGGNACACCGGUGGCGAAAGCGGCUCUCUGGUCUGUAACUGAUGCUGAGGCUCGAAAGCGUGGGGAGCGAACAGGAUUAGAUACCCUGGUAGUNCACGCCGUAAACGAUGAGUGCUAGGUGUNGGAUCCUUUCCGGGAUUCAGUGCCGCAGCUAACGCAUUAAGCACUCCGCCUGGGGAGUACGACCGCAAGGUUGAAACUCAAAGGAAUUGACGGGGGCCCGCACAAGCGGUGGAGCAUGUGGUUUAAUUCGAAGCAACGCGAAGAACCUUACCAGGUCUUGACAUCCCGAUGCUAUUUCUAGAGAUAGAAAGUUACUUCGGUACAUCGGUGACAGGUGGUGCAUGGUUGUCGUCAGCUCGUGUCGUGAGAUGUUGGGUUNNNNNNNNCNACGAGCGCAACCCCUAUUGUUAGUUGCCAUCAUUCAGUUGGGCACUCUAGCGAGACUGCCGGUAAUAAACCGGAGGAAGGUGGGGAUGACGUCAAAUCAUCAUGCCCCUUAUGACCUGGGCUACACACGUGCUACAAUGGUUGGUACAACGAGUUGCGAGUCGGUGACGGCAAGCUAAUCUCUUAAAGCCAAUCUCAGUUCGGAUUGUAGGCUGCAACUCGCCUACAUGAAGUCGGAAUCGCUAGUAAUCGCGGAUCAGCACGCCGCGGUGAAUACGUUCCCGGGCCU
RNAcentral lists this ribosomal RNA (771 nucleotides) under uncultured bacterium. RNAcentral describes it as "bacterial SSU rRNA". It matches the Rfam family "Bacterial small subunit ribosomal RNA", at positions 609 to 1381 of the family's 1533-position model. The record is from RNAcentral.